CCUCAGUAAUGGCGAAUGAACAGGGAUGAGCUCAGUAUGGAAAUCGGGGCCUGUGGCCUUGAAUUGUAGUCUCGAGAAGCAUUGCCAACGGAGGCGCAGAUGUAAGCCUCUUGGAAAAGAGCAUCAACGAGGGUGAGAGUCCCGUUUGUCAUCUGCAGUCCCCCGUGCACGGUGUGCUUUCUAAAGAGUCACGUUCCUCGGGAUUGGAGCGCAAAGUGGGUGGUAAAUUUCAUCUAAAGCUAAAUAUAGGUUCGAGACCGAUAGCAAACAAGUACCAUGAGGGAAAGGUGAAAAGGACUUUGAAAAGAGAGUUAAAAGUGCCUGAAAUUGCUGAAAGGGAAGCGAAUGGAACCAGUGUUUCUUGGCAAGAUUGGUGCGUGCUAUUGUGAUUGCCUGCUACUUCAGCGCAAGCGUUGUAGUGGGUUUUGAUCAUGACGUGCGUGUUGUUUCUUGCCUUGUGUGUCAACGUCAGUUCUCAAUCGAGGAAAACGCUAGGGACAUGGUAGCUUGCCUCCGGGUGGGUGAAUGUGCUUGGUUGAACUCAUUUGUGAACUGUUUCCUGCGUGUCUGGAUGCAUGUUCUGUGUCCUCAUGACUUUGAGGUGGGC
This 607-nucleotide ribosomal RNA is filed under the name Heterocapsa sp. PPa-2020a. Its description in RNAcentral is "partial large subunit ribosomal RNA". It matches the Rfam family "Eukaryotic large subunit ribosomal RNA", at positions 78 to 634 of the family's 3401-position model. Lineage: Eukaryota; Dinophyceae; Peridiniales; Heterocapsaceae. The record is from RNAcentral.